CGUAGGGGGCGAGCGUUGUCCGGAAUCAUUGGGCGUAAAGAGCGUGUAGGCGGACUGGAAGGUCUGGUGUGAAAGCCCGGGGCUCAACCCCCGGAGGGUCACUGGAAACCAACAGUCUUGAAUCUGGAAGAGGAGAGUGGAAUUCCUGGUGUAGCGGUGGAAUGCGCAGAUAUCAGGAGGAACACCGAUGGCGAAGGCAGCUCUCUGGUACAUGAUUGACGCUGAGACGCGAAAGCGUGGGGAGCGAACAGGAUU
Molecule: ribosomal RNA, 255 nt
Filed under: uncultured bacterium
Lineage: Bacteria
Description: partial 16S ribosomal RNA
Rfam family: Bacterial small subunit ribosomal RNA
Source: RNAcentral